This is a long non-coding RNA of Archocentrus centrarchus (flier cichlid), 1164 nucleotides long. RefSeq lists it as uncharacterized. Lineage: Eukaryota; Metazoa; Chordata; Actinopteri; Cichliformes; Cichlidae. The transcript is spliced from 3 exons. The record is from RefSeq and is a predicted model, not a curated record.
GGACCUGGGGGCUAGACAUCAUGCUGUCCAAAAAGCAGAAAUCAGGUUAUCAAAAGAAGAAAGAAAGGAAGGAAAAAGAAAGAAGGCAGAAUGAGGGGAGGCAGCUGUUGACGGCUUCCUUUCCCAAAGUUUCAGAAACAAACAGUGGCGCAGCCGCAGCAGCUGGAGCAGCAGUGGCCAGUCCUGGCAGCUCUUCUGAAGAUGAGCCUGAGGUUAGAGAUGAGCAAAGACAAGAUUUGCAUCAUAUGACUUGCUGAUGCGUUUCUGGGCCAUGAUCGAGCCCGCUCUGCCAUCCAUGGUCAGUGUUCGCCAAGGACAGAGAGGAACUCUCAUGGACUCCACUCACUCAACCCAUUGAUGAGUUCUUCCUGUUCUUAAAUGAUCUUGCCCUUGGAUCCAAACAACGGGACCUUGCUGACCGGUACGGUGUCCAUCAGUCCACGGUCAGCCGGAUCAUCACAGCAUGGAGCAACUUUUUAUUUACAGUACUCGGCUGAAUUAGGAUCUGGAUACCUGAGGACCAGAUAUGUAAAAAUCUACCUGCAGACUUCAAGGAUUUCCCUGACACUACAGCCAUCCUUGACUGCACUGAGUUGAGGUGUCAGUGCCCAUCUUCCCCUCUCCUCCAGAGUGAAGUGUUUCCAUCUUAUAAAUCACACUGCACUCUGAAGGGGCUGAUUGGGAUCGCACCACACGGGGCAGUGACAUUCAUCUCAGGACUAUAUGUGGGUUCCAUCAGUGACAAGCAGAUCACACGUGAAUCUGGUCUCCUCACCCUCUUAAAACCUGGGAUGGCUGUCAUGGUGGACAGAGGCUUUCUUAUAGACGACAUUGUACCCUGCAAGAUUUACAGGCCAGCAUUUCUCUCCGGCAGGUCUCAGAUGUCUGCAGAUGAAGUUAGGGAGACCCAGGCCAUAGCACGCCUCAGGGUGCAUGUGGAGCGCCUCAUUCACAGAGUCAAAGAGCACAAAUUAUUUGACUCUGAAAUUCCACUAGGUGUUUUUGGGAUAAUCAACCAACUGUACACUGUUGCUUGUCUGCUCACCAAUUAUGAAAAUGGCCCACUAGUAAAGGCUUGGGCAAAGAAGCCUGCCAUCUGAGCAACUGCAGGACAGUAGAUUGUAAAUUCACUUUUCAUGUUGUUAUAGUUUUGUACUUACAAUA